UACGGAGGGUGCAAGCGUUGUUCGGAAUUAUUGGGCGUAAAGGGCAAGUAGGUGGUCUUGUAAGUCUACUGUGAAAUCCCUGGGCUUGACCCAGGAAGUGCGGUGGAUACUGCAAGACUAGAGUGCUGGAGGGGUACGUGGAAUUCCUGGUGUAGCGGUGAAAUGCGUAGAUAUCAGGAGGAACACCGAUUGCGAAGGCAGCUCGCUGGGACGUUACUGACGCUGAGACGCGAAAGCGUGGGGAGCAAACAGG
This 253-nucleotide ribosomal RNA is filed under the name uncultured bacterium. RNAcentral describes it as "partial 16S ribosomal RNA". It matches the Rfam family "Bacterial small subunit ribosomal RNA", at positions 524 to 776 of the family's 1533-position model. The record is from RNAcentral.